This 151-nucleotide ribosomal RNA is filed under the name Rhizophagus intraradices. RNAcentral's name for it is "5.8S ribosomal RNA". It matches the Rfam family "5.8S ribosomal RNA". From Rfam's summary of the family: 5.8S ribosomal RNA (5.8S rRNA) is a component of the large subunit of the eukaryotic ribosome. It is transcribed by RNA polymerase I as part of the 45S precursor that also contains 18S and 28S rRNA. Lineage: Eukaryota; Fungi; Glomeromycota; Glomeromycetes; Glomerales; Glomeraceae. The record is from RNAcentral.
UCACUUUCAACAACGGAUCUCUUGGCUCUCGCAUCGAUGAAGAACGUAGCGAAGUGCGAUAAGUAGUGUGAAUUGCAGAAUUCCGUGAAUCAUCGAAUCUUUGAACGCAAAUUGCACUCUCUUCGGAGAGUAUGCCUGUUUGAGGGUCAGU